CAAACUCCUCCACCAGUGUCUCCCUCAGUGCUUGUGAUUGUUCUGGGAGUUGUGCUCUUACUGCUCUUAGUGCCACUGCUUAUACUGAUUCAGCAGAACAGAGUGAUGAGGAGAGCUCUCUCUAAGAGGAGACACAGGACGAUGUCUGAGGCCGUUUAUGAGGAAAUUCAGCACAGACACAAUCACUUCACUCAGAGGGGGAGUCUCAUCUCUGAAGAACUGCAUUCUGGGUAUGAAAAUGCUGAUGAGCUUCUCUCAGAAGAGAUUAAGCAAAUCACACCGGGAUAC
This is a long non-coding RNA of Carassius auratus (goldfish), 288 nucleotides long. RefSeq lists it as uncharacterized. The record is from RefSeq and is a predicted model, not a curated record. NCBI's taxonomy places the organism in Eukaryota, Metazoa, Chordata, Actinopteri, Cypriniformes, Cyprinidae. The transcript is spliced from 4 exons.